This 107-nucleotide small nucleolar RNA is filed under the name Phaseolus vulgaris (common bean). RNAcentral's name for it is "Plant small nucleolar RNA R71". It matches the Rfam family "Plant small nucleolar RNA R71". From Rfam's summary of the family: R71 is a member of the C/D box family of snoRNAs containing the C (UGAUGA) and D (CUGA) box motifs. Lineage: Eukaryota; Viridiplantae; Streptophyta; Magnoliopsida; Fabales; Fabaceae. The record is from Rfam by way of RNAcentral.
AAUCCAUGGUUUGGACAUCUUUUAAGUAGCAUUUUGAAGCGCUCCCAAGCUUCACAUAAAGGUUCAUCUAGUCCUUGCCUAAAUGUAGACAUAUCAUAUUUGAUCCG